AUGUCCGCUCUCCAGAACCUCCACUCUUACGACCCCUUUGCUGAUGCAAGUAAGGAUGGUAACCUGCUUCCUGCUGGCAGCGAGGAUUAUGUCCAAAUUCAACCGAGAAACGGCAGGAAGACCCUUACCACUGUCCAAGGGAUCACUGAUGAUUAUGAUAAAAAGAAACCAGUGAAGGCGUUUAAGAAGAAAUUUGCCUGCAAUGGUACUGUAAUUGAGCAUCCAGAAUAUGGAGAAGUAAUUCAGCUACAGGGUGACCAGCACAAGAACAUAUGCCAGCUCCUGAUAGAGACUGGGCUGGCUGAGGACAAUCAGCUGAAGGUUCAUGGGUUUUAAGUGCUUGUGGCUCUCUGAAGCUUAAGCGAGGAUUUCCUUGCAAUGAGUAGAAUUUCCCUUCUGUCCCUUGUCACAAGUUUAAAAAUCUCACAGCUUGUAUAAUGUAAUCAUUUGGGGUCCGCUUUUAACUUGGACUAAUGUAACUCCUUCAUGCAAUAAACUGAAAAGAGCC
Molecule: non-coding RNA, 508 nt
Organism: Mus caroli (Ryukyu mouse)
Lineage: Eukaryota; Metazoa; Chordata; Mammalia; Rodentia; Muridae
Source: RefSeq, a predicted model, not a curated record